AACGAACGCUGGCGGCGCGCCUAAUACAUGCAAGUCGAGCGAGAAGACGUAGCAAUACGUUUGUAAAGCGGCGAACGGGUGAGGAAUACAUGGGUAACCUACCCUCGAGUGGGGAAUAACUAGCCGAAAGGUUAGCUAAUACCGCGUACGCUCCUUGGACUUCGGUUCAGGGAGGAAAGCGAUACCGUGGGUAUCGCGCUCUUGGAUGGGCUCAUGUCCUAUCAGCUUGUUGGUGAGGUAACGGCUCACCAAGGCUUCGACGGGUAGCUGGUCUGAGAGGACGAUCAGCCACACUGGCACUGCGACACGGGCCAGACUCCUACGGGAGGCAGCAGUAAGGAAUAUUGCGCAAUGGGCGAAAGCCUGACGCAGCGACGCCGCGUGGGGG
This 388-nucleotide ribosomal RNA is filed under the name uncultured bacterium. RNAcentral describes it as "bacterial SSU rRNA". It matches the Rfam family "Bacterial small subunit ribosomal RNA", at positions 29 to 407 of the family's 1533-position model. The record is from RNAcentral.